AUGAAUCGGGGCUUUUCACCAUCCGGCUCAAAGUUCUUCAGAGAUGUUCUCCAUUUUUUCAAACUCCACCCUCAAGAUCUCGGGCCCAAUUCCAUAUCCAAUAUCUGCAAUUUCCAAGUUCUUUGUGAGGUGUACCUUCAAGAAGAACCGACUGUGGAACUCUUUAGAGAGUAUUUUUAUCUGAACUGCCAGAACGAGUGUACCAAUGGCCCCAGCUUUGAACUUGGAGGCAUCUCAAUUCAGCACCGACAAGGCGCCGUUUUCCCCCUAAUAGUCUUUCCGAGUCAUCCCAAGACCAGAAUCAGACCUGGUUCUACUGCCAAGACACUUCACCAGCCAAUGAGAAACCACUGCCGGGUUAUCGCGCGGAUCAUCUAG
This 378-nucleotide ribosomal RNA is filed under the name Triticum aestivum (bread wheat). Its description in RNAcentral is "partial small subunit ribosomal RNA". The record is from RNAcentral. Lineage: Eukaryota; Viridiplantae; Streptophyta; Magnoliopsida; Poales; Poaceae.